UGUUGUUUCUGAAUUACCGAUUCCUUGCCUACUGCCAGAUAAGAACAAAGCCUAUGCAUCAGCCUGACAGCUUGCAAACAGAAAAUGGGCUUGUAGGAUUGGAUUUAAAUCCCAGGUGUAGGGGAUAAUUACCACAUCACUCAUGCAGUAACUGAAAAAUGGUAUUUCAACAAGAAAAAUUACAUUCCUUUUAUAGUGCCAACAGAAAUCAUUAUUUGAGGCUUCACACUGAUUCACUGUAUCAUUACAUGUGCACUGUACUCAUUAAAUGUAAUGUUUGUUGCAACAUAAAAAAGUUAUUGUUUUAGGUACUUUGUUGGAGAAGGUAGCUUAAAUUUAAGGUUUGUAGAACCUUGAUGGUGUAGAGGUCGUUUGGACUCUAAUAUAUACUGUGCAAGAGAAAUGACAACCCAGACGCAGAGCUUUCAACUGGCUCCUAUUACAGGAGGCGUGGAUGGAUAGUACAAAGAAAAUGGAGUAUAAAUCUUUUGUUUCAAAAACCCCAGCCAUUUAACCCUACAGUCUGUCCAGAGAAAGAGUACAAAUAAUGAUUCAAAUCUUGACAGAGCGGUGCUGAAUAGUGCAUAUUUUACCAUUAGCUUUGAAAUCAUUGAAGCCCAACAUAUACAUUCUAAAGAACAGAAGGACAGAGACUAUAUUCAUUUGAAAAAUCAUAAAAAAAAAAACAGUGGCAAACAUACUGGAAAUGCCGUCUUCAUCCCUGGCAUUCAGUCCAUACCCACAAAGCUGCAGUUGUUUCCCAGUGAUUGUGCAAGCAGCACAAUAAUGAAAGUGACAUUCAGCAGAGUCGUUCGUAGGUGCAGAAGGCUAUGUGUCAACUGCUGAGAGCAACAACUUAGGCUGCAUUAAUCAGAUCCCUAGUUAUAUUUAUGGCCAACUGGCUUUCUCAUUAUGAUCAAAAUCAUGCAAAAAAAAAGAAAAUGACUUCAAAUUUGCUGUAUUCUUGCAUGAACGUCGCAAGGAGGCAUUGACUAUUUGAUAGACAUAGGAAAAGAAGCUACAAGAACUAGAUGGAUUCAUUGAGAAUAAUUCAAGUUAAGUAAACUUAUUUUCUUAUUUCAUAGGUUUCUAGACUGACAGACUAGAAAUGAACUAUUAUUCCCAGGUCUCUGGCUCAUUCCUGCUUGGUUGGUAUGUGAUAAUGAUGAAGACUAAAGGAAGAAAAGGUUAGGAAGCAGAAUAUAUUGAAUUUGUGGUAUAAUGAGAUAUCACUGUCGUGAUGUUAGGUAGACAGUUGAAUACAAAAAUGUGAAGAUUAAGACACAAGUUUUGGUUGGAGAAAUAUAUUUUGAAAAGGAUGGAGAGGCAGGAAAAAAAAAGUAAAUGGAAAGGUAAAAAAUUGGAUUAUGAGCUAUCUUAGGAUUUGGAAAAAACAUGUUUCAAGAUUAUGAUAAUAAACUGCAUUGUUGAGGUAUGCUAGGGAAUUUAGUAAGAUCAGGAAAGAAAGGUUUCCAUCAAGUUUGGAAAUAUGGUAUUUCUCUAAUGACAUACUAUGGACAUGAGUCUUCAAAGUAAUUUUUCUUUCUCCUAUUUGUAACUUCAGUUUCUCAGUUGUUACCUGCAAUAACUACACAUGGAAUUUGCUAAAGAUAAUACCCAUCUCUUUUUCCUAUAUAAUAUCACUCAUUUGCCUGAGGAAAAUUCACAACUUAAUUACUUGGAGGAAAUCUCCAAGUGCACUGACAUUGUCAGAUCAGUACGGGUUAUUCCUUGCUACCUAAUGCCAAUGAAACACAACUGUGGCACUCAGUGCUGAAGACCGGAUUGCUCCUGUGAUGCUUUUGUGAAUAGAGAGGCAGAUAGAUAUCUCUGCUGUAUUCAGUUUGGGAUAUGCUACAAUAAAUCUGCUUAUAUAGGAAAAUAAGCAGGAAGGUUCGUUUCACAUACAUUUGGUCUCAUCCUCAGAGAGCACAACUAUCUUCAGUAUAGCUAGGCUAGCUGGAGCUGUGGCUUGUUUGUCAUUGCCGUAGUUGGAAAAUAUUAGACCUCUGUACAGCACCAGCUAGUCUCCUCCUUCCCUAUUGGAAAUUUCCACCACUAAGGGUUUUCAUUAUCCUUCCAGUCCAUCAGACAUAUGUGAAUAUGGCAGAAGAUGAAUGGAGAACAGAGAUGUGUCCUCUCAAUUCCCAACUCCCGCCAAAAGCUUCUCAGUCCCUUUGCAGAUUAGUAGUUUCAAAUGGGGAGGGUGGAGUUUGUGCGUCUUCACCAGCAUUGGAGCUCUUUUACCCAUCUAAGACACCUUGUUACUUAUAUUCACAUCAUUUCUGUGAAGUUUGAAGGGAUUCUAAAAUAAUCAAUUUAAAAUAAAAAUGAAAGGUUAUGUAACUUGUCCAAAAGCACACAGCUCAUAAAUGAACAAGAUGAUUUUUAAAUCUAGAUAUAACUGACUUCAAAUGUAUAUUAUUUAUAUAACAGCUUUAUUGAGGUAUAAUUGUCAUUGCAAUACACUGAACAUACUUAGUGUCUACGUUUUUAUAAGUUUUGGUAUGUUAUGUACCAAUGGAAAUUAUCACCACAAUCAAGAAAAUUUGUGUGUAUACAUAACAAGGAAAAGUUUACUCAUGUCUUUCUUUCUGCCCCUCCCUGGUUACCCACUCUGCAUCUCAGGCAGCCAUUCAUCUAUUCUCUGUCACCAUUGAUUAGUUUGCAUUUCCUAGAAUUUUAUAAAAGUGAACAUUUGAAGUAUAUGUUUUUUCUUUCAAUUUAUCUGAUUCAGCAUGAUUGAGGUUAAUUCAUGUUUCUCUACUAAUAAUUUAUUCUAUUUAUUGCAUAACAGUGUUCCAUUAUACUGAUAUGACUAUUCACCAAUCAAUGAACAUUUGGGUUGUUUCCAGUUUGGAACCAUUGCAAAUAAAGCUCUUAUCAUUAAAAUGCAAAAUCCAAUCUUCAUUUGAAGAUAUACUUUUCUUUCUCUUGAUUACCAUGGUGACUACUUGAAGUUCAGAUGUGUACAAUUUUUGAGAAUGAAACAAUUGAAACUCUACAUAGUUAAGAAGUGUCUAUUUUAGGUUAUACAUGAAGUAAUAUGUUGAAUUUUUGUAACUUUUUUCAAGUUGAAAUUUUAUCUUUCUUAAUUAUUUCUGAAAUAAAGGAUAAAUAAAAAAUUAAUGAUUAUCACUGAUUGUUAGAAGAAGAUCACUGCUGAAGAUAACGUUACAUAGAAAGGAAUGGUGUUAAAAUCAAUCUACUCUGAGGAUUCAAUACUCCAAGUAUGCCAGAAGAGGGAAAUUCCACAACCCCUAGGCACUGUUCUUUGAAAGAAGUGGCCAGAAAAAUCAGAUUUGCUGAGAACAUCUGGGAUUACAGAGAGCACUGAUGUGGAGAAAGGAAGGGCAUCGUGAUCUUAGAGAAACCUUCCUCUAUAGAAUGAAGAAACCAAGGCAUAUGAGAAGAUGAUCUUCCUAAGGUCACAUGGGAUUCUGCAUGUAUCCCUAAAAACCCUAUGAACCCUUGACCAUGGAGUCCCCAAGGAGAAUGCUGACCCGAAACAUGGGGAGAACCUUGAAAAACUUGUCUGUACCAUGCACCUAUCUCUACAACAUCAGGACUCACUGCUGGCCACUAGUUAGCAGGAUUCAUCACUACCUUUGCUAUAAUCAGGAACAAAAGGUAAGAACAAUUAAUGACACAUAAGGUAUUUACCAAGGGCCCAGCACUGGGGUAAAAAUAAGCACAGUAUAAAGUUCUUAACAGCUGUAACCAUUCAGGAAGUGUACAAUCUGGCUAAGGUGUCAUGCAUGCAGGGCAAAGCUGGUGACUAGAAAGUGCUGGAAGACUCAGGAAAGACACAUUCAGUAGACAUCUUAGGAAAAGCUUCUUACCUACCCAUAAGUCAGUCUCAAAGUAUGUCUCUGAGCAGAAGUUGCAAUUGCUUGGGAGUUACCCAACACUCUGGGUUGGCAUUGUUGGCCUGUCAGAAGUGGAAACUGACUUCCCUCUUCCUGGUCAGGCUCCCAUAUUUUCACUCUGCUCUGAGUACUGAAAAUUAUUUAGUUUGGGUAAUGUUCAUAUAAGAAAAAUGGAGGAAGAGAGAGGAUUGCAGGCAGGGAAAAUGCAUGGAACUUGGCAUGGUAAGAAGAGGAAUUACUUCUUCUCUCUGUAUUUCCAAAGAUUCAUAAGUGCUCUCAGCUCAAGACAAGAGAUCAUAAAAACAUAAUUGUUUCCUAUAUAAUUACACUGUUGAUUGACUCUCCAGAACCUGCUUGUGAUUAUUUUAAUCUUUGCAUCAUUCUACCAUAAAUGCUGGAAAGAGCAAAUACUCAAUUUCCCAUUCAACCUUUCAGCCAGGAUUAGACUUGUGACAGUUGUGGCCAACAUAUCAUCAGUAGUCCUUGAGGUUUGCACAAUCUCCCAAAUCAAAAAGCAAAAUUCACUAGUAAGGCUUAGUCCUCACCCUUCUUCUUGCCAAAAAUGCUGACAUACAUGUUCCUCUCCCCGAGACAGGAAACAUAAGGGUCAAGGAAUGGAUAAUAAAGAUAGAACUGAGAGAUGGAAACAACUUUAGUUCCUGAUGGCAUCACUGAGUUGCCAUGGCCCUCCUGAACUUCUCUGAACUUUCUGCUUUAUGAAACAAAUAAAACGUUAAGUCAUAUUAAUUGUCUGUUAUUUGUCACCAAGUGAAUUUGUAACUAACAGAAACUCAACAGGAAUGCCACUUAUUCCCUUGCUCAGGUCAAUGAGUUAUCAUCCCACAGGGGCAAAUCUAGUUCUUUAGGUUCCCAUGGCUCCUUCUGCAGCCCACAGGGUCUCCCUGAAAUUAGAGCGUAGCUUCCACUUUUCACAGAAGAUACAUAACACUCAAAGUCCAUAUUGAUUGCCAGAUGUUUCCAAAGGUAUGUCACAUAACCUAUGGAAUUAUAAAAUUAUAUU
Molecule: non-coding RNA, 4890 nt
Organism: Callithrix jacchus (white-tufted-ear marmoset)
Lineage: Eukaryota; Metazoa; Chordata; Mammalia; Primates; Cebidae
Source: RefSeq, a predicted model, not a curated record